GUGACUUCUCCAUGCAUUGACGUUUUUUGUUCUCAAAAAUUAAUGUACAAAAUGUAAGGAUUAAAAGUCAAAAACUAACUGAAUAAUUUCUUAUAUUAUAAUUUAAUCAUUAUAAAAUCCAGUUGAAAAUGACUUACCUCAGAAAAAUUGGUUGGCUACUCGUACUUAUUUUCGUAUCAUUUUCAAUAGCUACGUUCUGCUCCUCCUUUUACAUUUUCCUUCUACCGCUAACCAUCUUCAUGGAAUCGCUCAGGCCAGUCACCGAUAUGCUUCUGAUUGGCAUACAGUUUCCACGAUACUGCGUAAUUCAAUUUCUAUCCAAGGACACCCAAAAUACCAGCACGAUGUAAAAGACAAAAUUGUCGAUAGAGAAAGAACAAAGCCUAGAACUUCAUUUAUUAUUUAAACGUUCGUUUAUCCAGAUUGACAUGGGAAAUGAAGGCGAAUAAUAAGGAAAAGUUCAACAGUUACUCUUCAAGAACCUUGAUCUUUUCACGGGACGUCAAUACCGAAUAGUUCUUUUAAAUAUUUUAAGAGUCGAUCAUAUUAGCCCAUCUCAAAAGUUUAAUGUAACCGGUGUCAAACUGUAUUAUCGCUUAGCCUUCGAGAACGUUAAAUUUAUGUAAUGCAUCAUGACGAUUACAAGGAAACUUCAUUAUUGCAUAAUUAGAUUGUAAUAUCCUUUUUAAAAGGUUAAAAAAUAAAGAGGAGCAGCUAAGUAAGAUGUGAUA
This is a long non-coding RNA of Sitophilus oryzae (rice weevil), 731 nucleotides long. RefSeq lists it as uncharacterized. NCBI's taxonomy places the organism in Eukaryota, Metazoa, Arthropoda, Insecta, Coleoptera, Curculionidae. The record is from RefSeq and is a predicted model, not a curated record. The transcript is spliced from 2 exons.